Molecule: ribosomal RNA, 441 nt
Filed under: uncultured Gammaproteobacteria bacterium
Lineage: Bacteria; Pseudomonadati; Pseudomonadota; Gammaproteobacteria
Description: bacterial SSU rRNA
Rfam family: Bacterial small subunit ribosomal RNA
Source: RNAcentral
GGCGGACGGGUGAGUUAACGCGUGGGAAUCUACCCAGUAGUGGGGGACAACUACCGGAAACGGUAGCUAAUACCGCAUACGCCCUAUGGGGGAAAGGCUUCGGCCGCUAUUGGAUGAGCCCGCGUCAGAUUAGCUAGUUGGUAGGGUAAAGGCCUACCAAGGCAACGAUCUGUAGCUGGUCUGAGAGGACGAACAGCCACACUGGGACUGAGACACGGCCCAGACUCCUACGGGAGGCAGCAGUGGGGAAUAUUGGACAAUGGGCGAAAGCCUGAUCCAGCAAUGCCGCGUGUGUGAAGAAGGCCUGCGGGUUGUAAAGCACUUUCAGUUGGGAAGAUGAUGACGUUACCAACAGAAGAAGCACCGGCUAAAUCCGUGCCAGCAGCCGCGGUAAUACGGAUGGUGCGAGCGUUAAUCGGAAUUACUGGGCGUAAAGUGCGC